AAAUUAUUAAAAUAUACAUUGCUCAAUGUUACUCCAGCAAUAAUAUGUAAAUCAUACAUUUUUUUUACCAAUACGACGUCGAAGUAAUCAUUCCUGUAUACUCAAACGCAAACGGUGAAAAUCACAGAACUUCCACCAUCGCUCGUAAAUCAUUUUCCAUUUGAAAUCUACAUUACGACCGAUAACGUAGAACGAAACGACACAUUUAUUUAGCACUGUCAAUACAAUUUUAAUCAAUAUCGUAACGCAGACCCAGCUCCAAUGCAAACUGGCGACGACCAUUAAACAAUUCUUAUCAAAGGGACAGGAAAUGAGAGGGGGCAUCUGGCAGAAACAUCACAAUCCAAUAUGGAUUUCUAACCACACGUCAAUAUUAAGGUAGAAACGACUUUCCGUAGCUUUUGAUUACGCUCUCUCUGAAACAAACUAUCCACUGUCAUCCCUUGUUUCCCGUUCCCAUCGAAGUGGCAAAUUUAGGAAUACUAAUUUGCAACCCAAGCACGCUACGAGCUGAAUAGAAAUAUUCAUGGCGAAACGCUAUACAGGACGAUCCUUGUAACUGGGCCAGAUUAUAGUGCUGUUAUAAAUGAAAGUAAAAAAAAACAAAAUAAUAAAGGAAAAUUAAAUAUGUAUAAAAACAAAAUUUUCUCUACCGUCCGAGUUUAAUAUAACGUCGUUCUAACCCUUACGCGUUAGGUAGGAGGUUUUUUUCUGAAGUUUUAAUAAUGCUGUUCCAGAUCCAGACUAUCCACCAUCCCUUUCCGCCUUCAGGCUUGGAUCAGCCUCCGUCAUUGAUGGACCGAACUGUAAACAAGGGGAAAGGAUACUGGGAAUAGAGUACGCGAGAACGAUGUCCCAAGGGGGGGUUCUGAGCGGAUACGAAGCACAGAAUAUUUUGUUAUUAGAGUUUCGUUGACGAAGUGGAGUAUUGCUGACAUCAAGAGCUACUAUAUAAAGUCGAGAGUCAUGGACGAACCGAUUCACAACACGGAGAGCUCCUAGGAAAGGAGAGCCGAGGCAGCCGUACGUUUCAAGCACCGAAGCUUAAGUAGCAAGUUGAACAGGGAAGACGACGCAACCCCGAGAGGCGAACGCUUCGUUAAAAUGCAGCGCGGACGGAGUGGCUGAAAUCGAAAAGCUGGCCCCAGGUGUUACAUCGCGAAUCUUCGACCCUCGUAAACACCGAGCACAAGGCCGUCUAGAGGGUGGGUAUCGAGGGUGAGAGGAAGGGAAGGGCCGCGAGUGGAAGCAGUCGAGCCUCCGCAAGGAAGGAAGAAGGAUGGGGUAGCAGGAGAGACACCAAGCCAGCAGAGGAACCCAAGGGUUACACCCUACUUUCCUCGGUGUUGCAGUAUCAAUACGUAAAGUUGGCUGGGGGUAGUUCCGUUAUGGCGGCACACAUUACUAUUUCCAUCUUAUCUACGAGGCGCACUUUUUAACUAUCCGCCUUUAAAGAUAUCCUCAAGCAGCCUAUUGUGCUGAAAAAUACUUUUCAGAACUUACUUCAUAACGGAGAAGUAACCACCACUUUUACCGAGGAGUCGCUAUUCGUGAUUUCGAUCGUUAGUAUUGUCUGACGAAACUGUGGAGAGGUUUAAGAUUUUGCGAUACUUUUCACUUCUACGAUUCAUCUUAAUUAUUAUCGAAGGAGCUCUUCUUUGUGAGAUUAGAAUUUAUGGGUGGAUUUGUGUUUGAAAUGUAUUGUUUGUUAUUUAGUAGAGCAAGUUUAUUUUAUUGCAUUUAACAACACACUGUUGCAAGACAAAUUUUCCACUAGCUUGGCACGUUAACAAAAUAGAAAAAAAAACAAGUAAAAGGCGCAACAUUAAAGUCGAGCUAUUAAUGUAUAUUCUGAUAGACCACCUUGCAUAAAGUAUAGAAUUCACAGCCUCUAAAAAUCUAGAAUCCAAAUGUACAGUA
Long non-coding RNA from Hylaeus anthracinus, 1920 nucleotides. RefSeq lists it as uncharacterized. NCBI's taxonomy places the organism in Eukaryota, Metazoa, Arthropoda, Insecta, Hymenoptera, Colletidae. The record is from RefSeq and is a predicted model, not a curated record. The transcript has 3 exons.